This 433-nucleotide ribosomal RNA is filed under the name uncultured bacterium. RNAcentral describes it as "partial 16S ribosomal RNA". It matches the Rfam family "Bacterial small subunit ribosomal RNA", at positions 29 to 507 of the family's 1533-position model. The record is from RNAcentral.
AGCGAACGCUGGCGGCAUGCCUAACACAUGCAAGUCGAACGAGACCUUCGGGUCUGGUGGCGCACGGGUGCGUAACGCGGGGGAACCUGCCCUUAGGCUCCGAAUAACUCCCCGAAGGGGGUGCUAACACCGGGUAACUUCUUCGGACCCAAGAUUCAUCGCGCUUGGAUGGGCCCGCGUUGGAUUAGCCUGUUGGUAGGGUAAAAGCCUAUCAAGGGGUGACUCCAUAGCUGGUUUGAGAGGAAGAGCAGCCACUCUGGGACUGGGACACGGCGCAGAAUCUUACGCGAGGGAGCAGAGGGGAAUAUAGGACAAUGGGCGAAAGCAUGAUGCACUUAUGCCGCGUGAGUGAUGAAGGCCUUAGAGUAGUAAAGCUCUUUUACCCGGGAUGAUAAUGACGGUACCGAAAGAAUAAGCACCGGCUAACUUCGUG